Molecule: non-coding RNA, 72 nt
Organism: Sinocyclocheilus anshuiensis
Lineage: Eukaryota; Metazoa; Chordata; Actinopteri; Cypriniformes; Cyprinidae
Source: the annotation of a RefSeq genome assembly
UCCUCGUUAGUAUAGUGGACAGUAUCUCCGCCUGUCACGCGGAAAACCGGGGUUUGAUUCCCCGAUGGGGAG